RNAcentral lists this non-coding RNA (23 nucleotides) under Arabidopsis thaliana (thale cress). Lineage: Eukaryota; Viridiplantae; Streptophyta; Magnoliopsida; Brassicales; Brassicaceae. The record is from RNAcentral.
CAUUUGUUUAAGUGGGUUGAGGA